Molecule: long non-coding RNA, 533 nt
Filed under: Mus musculus (house mouse)
Lineage: Eukaryota; Metazoa; Chordata; Mammalia; Rodentia; Muridae
Description: predicted gene, 47729
Source: RNAcentral
UUCACUGUACUCAGUAAAGUGGAAUUAUGGACAAGAGUAUUCAGAUCAUUAUUGUCUUUAUAUUAGAAGAAAAAAUACAAUAUUCAUAACAAAGAAUGAGGAAAGCCAGAGCCAGACAUGAAAUAAGAGUUACCAUAGCACAGACAUAGGCAGACUCCCAAAUGCACCAACAAGAAGAGACAUAGAAGGCUCCAUGAAAUAAACAGAAAAAUGCGGAACAGUGGUAAAUUCUGUGACAUUUAUAGAGCCAGUAACAAAUGGAAUAUGUGAAGGGAAGACAUCUAACUAAUUAUGUUACAUUGGAUUGUACUGGAGCCAGAAGCUGGAAAACACCCAGAUGUCCUCAACAGAAGAAUGAAUACAAAAAAAAAUAUGGUUCAUAUACACAAUGGAAUUCUACGCAUCUAUUAAAAACAAUGACUUCAUGAAAUUUUCAGGCAAAGGGAUGGAACUAGAAAAUGUCAUCCUGAGUGAGAAAUGUUCCAGUCCAAAGGAAGAACAGGGACAAAAAUAUGGAACAGAUGAAGGAAGGG